This 90-nucleotide transfer RNA is filed under the name Vicinamibacterales bacterium. Its description in RNAcentral is "tRNA-Ser". It matches the Rfam family "tRNA". From Rfam's summary of the family: Transfer RNA (tRNA) molecules are approximately 80 nucleotides in length. Lineage: Bacteria; Pseudomonadati; Acidobacteriota; Vicinamibacteria; Vicinamibacterales. The record is from RNAcentral.
GGAGAGGUGGCUGAGCGGUCGAUAGCGGCGGUCUUGAAAACCGUUGUACCUGAAAGGGUACCGGGGGUUCGAAUCCCUCCCUCUCCGCCA